This 2420-nucleotide long non-coding RNA is filed under the name Macaca mulatta (Rhesus monkey). Its description in RNAcentral is "lncRNA (ENSMMUG00000059050.1)". Lineage: Eukaryota; Metazoa; Chordata; Mammalia; Primates; Cercopithecidae. The record is from RNAcentral.
CUCCAGCCUGGGGGACAAAGAGAGACCUGUCUCAAAGGACAAGGCAAAGAGCAAAAAGGACAUUCCAUCCUUGGGCACGGGAGAGCUGGGGAACAGCUCUAGUCCUGAUUGGGGUGGAGGGUGGAGAGCGUUUUACUUUGGACUCAGAAGUGACUGACUUACUAAGGGGUCUUUACCCAAAUCGGUGGAAACUUGUAGGCAUAAGGAGGAUGUGUAUUAGAAACCGAGGCAGAACCUGUGUUGUCGGGUCCAUGUGAAGUUUCCGAUUUCUCCCUUGACUCUGAUGAGCUGGGGCUGCCUAGCUGCUCUAGAACCUGGACUUGGAGUGAAACCCCAUCUCUAUUUUUAAAAAAUACAAAAAUUAGCCGGGCAUGGCGGCACGCACCUGUAGUCCCAGCUACUCGGGAGCCUGAGGUGGGAGAAUCUUUUGAACCCGGGAGGUGGAGGUUGCAGUGAGCUGAGAUUGCACCACCGCACUCCAGCUUCAGAGACAGAGCAAGAUCGUCUCAAAUAAAUAACAAGAUUGUCUCAAAUAAAUAAAUAAAUAAAUAAAUAGAACCCAGACUUGGCCAUGACCCCUGCCUCUACUUCAUGCACGUGGCCCUGCCUUCUCUUGCCUGCCUUAGGCGCUGAGCCCUUCCAUCCCAGGGUCCAGCUGCCUGCGGGCUGCUCCCCAGCUGACCCCUCAGAGUCUGACUCAAGGGGUUACCACUUUCCCCUUUUCCCCUGAAUCCCAAGUUCUCUAUUUCUUGAUCCAAUCCUUUCUUUCCAGCUUGGGCUCUUUUGUAAGGGGUCACACGGGCACAGAGAGAAAAGUCCGUGCUGUUGAAAUAGCUAGAUCUCUGGCUUCCGGAGGGUCAGAGAUAAGAGAGUGAGUUACCAGGCUGUGGAUUUCAGGGGAAAGUUCUGUUUCCAGCCUACUGGGAAAGAUGUGUCCAUCUGUCCCUGAGCAGGUGGUUCGUGACUGUAGAUCACACUCAGAUUUUCCGGCCCAGACCAGGCUAGCCUUGAGCAGAGCAGGAAUGAGCCUUCUCCCAGGGCUGGAAAAGAAGCUUCCGUCUGGAAGGGGCAAAAGAAAUGACACGGUGCCCCUGGGAUCCCCAGCCCAGCCUCCCAUGCUGGAAGGGCUGGAGGGAGGAUUGACGCAAGGAGUCUGAAAAUUCAUGCCCGCCUUCGUCUGGAUUUGUGGUUGCUUCUGUAAUUUGUUUAGGUGGCUUUUGAUCUGUGAAACCAUUUGGUUUUCAGCUUUCAGGGUCUGCUUGCCUUUUUUUUUUUGAGACAGAGUUUUGCUCUUGUUGCCCAGGCUGGAGUGCAAUGGCGCGAUCUUGGCUCACCGCAACCUCUACCUCCCUGGUUCAAGCAAUUCUCCUGCCUCAGCCUCCCGAACCACGCCUAGCUAAUGUUUGUAUUUUUAGUAGAGACGGGAUUUCACCAUGUUGGUCAGGCUGGUCUCGAACUCCUGACCUCAGGUGAUCCGCCCGCCUCGGCCUUCCAAAGUGCUGGGAUUACAGGCAUGAGCCACUACGCCCGGCCCUGCUUGCCUUUUCUUUUUUGAAGUUCCCAUCCCCAAACUGCAGCAAUAACAGGGCUAGGAUACAUAUAGCAGUUGCUGUUUGCUAGGCCCUGUUUCAUACUCAUUAUUCUAUCUCAUUUUCACACAACUGAAAAAUGGGUGAUUGACAACCAGGCGUGGUGGCUCAUGCCUGUAAUCCCAACACUUUGGGAGGCCAGGGUGGGUGGAUUACUUGAGCUCAGGAGUUUGAGACCAGCCUGGACAGUUUGGUGAAACACCAUCUCUACUAAAAAUACAAAAUUAACCGGGCAUGGUGGCAGGUGCCUGUAAUCCCAGCUACUCAGGAGGCUGAUGCAGGAAAAUCACUUGAACCCGGAAGGUGGAGGCUUCAGUGAGCCAAAAUGAUGUCACUGCACUCCAGCCUGGGCAACAGAGUGAGAGUCUGUCUCUUAAAAAAAAGUUUUGAGGGAAGGGGCCAAUGAAGGGACUUAUAGGGAGCUGUGGGACACACGGUGAGGGGCUUGAGCUAUCCUGGGUUGGGAAUGGGGGACAGGCAUGUAAGGGUCACGUGGGGGGAACAGCUGAGAUACUGAGAAACAGGAUGAAGUCUGGUUAAGAGCUGGGGCUGCUGGAGCCAGUCUGUCUCUUAGCUGAGUGACUCUGAGCAAGAUAGCAACUCCUCUAUCUGUCAGUUUCCUCAUCUUUCAAGUGAGAAUAGGACCAAUACCUUAUUUUAUUAUUUUAAGAGACAGAGUCUUUCUCUGUCAUCCAGGCUGGAGUAUAGUGGCAUGAACAUAGCUCACUCUAGCCUCGAACACCUGCCCUCAAUCUACCCUCCCACCUCAGCCUCCAGAGUAGCUGGGACUACAGGUGCACGCCAUCACACCCAGCUAAUUAUUAGUAUUAU